GGUCAUCAGCAUAUGAAUGAGCGGCCUUCAUUGGCUGCAGGGUUAGUUUACUAAAUAAAGGCAAGGGAGCAACACCCACUUCCUUAAAAUUCUCAGCGUGCACAGUCACUUUGAGCUGGCAGGGAAAUUUCAACGUUGACUUGUUGAACAGCUGCUUCACGAUCGACGCUCCGACGUGACCCCGAGACGUCCAACCAACGUGCGUACACCUGUGACAGUGACGCUUCUGGUGCCGAUAGACCUGAUAUAUAAGACAUGGCAAGUUGUGGAUGGCUGUGGUCCAUCAUGUGGAUCAUCCUGUUGGUGGUUAUAGGCUGGCCCCUCGGGCUGCUCUGCGCCGUGCUGUACGUUUUUAUAUCCCCGUUUCAGGCGUGUUGCUCGUGUGGAGGAUGUCCGGAGUUCAUCAGUCUACUGAACAGAGGCGUGAACCUGCCGCUCACCUGCGCCAAGAACAUGGUCAGCCAGUCCGCGCCCUGCUAGCGUGUUCAAGUCCGAACUGCCAGCUGUAGUUCACUCAUCUCCAAGCAGAUGCUGGGGUGGUUUUCUGACUGCCAGGUUUCUGAUAGCGGCCCCCUGAUCUUCCACCCCAACAUGUGCUUGGAGAUUACAGUUCAUUGUCCCUAUCAUAUCAAAGCAGUUUUAGUUACAUUUCUUUGUUAGCAACAGAAUUUAUCAUUUUUUUAUACGGUUGGAAAAGCAAAAUGCCUUUUUCUGACAAGCACGGCUAUAGAUACGUAGUUUGACAUCCUAGUUUCCAAGAGCUCCGAAAGACGCACUUCUAUUAAAGUUCUUAGCAUUAUUUUGGGAAGAAUAGAGUAUAGGGGACCCUUUGAAACGGCUAAUAAAUACAUCUGACACUGUGCAGCAAUCAAGUGUCUAUGCCAGUGAAUUGUUAUGUAACUUUUCUUCUGAUUUGUAAUUAGGUUUACUAGCUUGCUCAAGAUCUAUGCCGUUUUGCACCCCUUUAGCCAAGUCAUAGAACAUUAAGUUCCUACUACACAUACUAAUACUGCACACCAGAUAUUUGCACACCAAGUUCAGGUUCAAAUGAUGGUGCUACACAUUUACUAAUGGUGUUAUUACAGUUAUAAAAAUGUUGGACCAAAUUAAUGUCUACUCUUAAGAUAUUUAAGGUGGAAAACUUUGUUCAGGCACAUUCAUCAUUUUUCUUCUGAACUGUGAAAUAUGUUCUUGCCAUGGAGCUAGAACAUGGGGUCACCAAUCUAGGAAAAUGUGAACUGGAGCCCCAUGUCAGAGCUGUGUCCUCAAAGUCUAUAUGGCAUCCUUAUCAUAAAUUUUUACACAAUAAAGAAAGAUAUUGACGCC
Molecule: long non-coding RNA, 1326 nt
Organism: Branchiostoma belcheri (Belcher's lancelet)
Lineage: Eukaryota; Metazoa; Chordata; Leptocardii; Amphioxiformes; Branchiostomatidae
Exons: 3
Source: RefSeq, a predicted model, not a curated record